AACAGAUAACAGAUGUAACAGAUAAAACUGCAGUUGCCUUUCUUGCAUGUUUGCGUGUUUAUGGUGCGCAUUGUAAAAAGCAUUACUAUAAUGGAGAGUUGUACCAAAGCUGAAAAAAUGAGAGGCAACAAAUACAUCAACAGCAUUUAAAAUCAUUAUCUAUGUAUGAGAUUAAACGAAGUGUAACUGUGGUUAUAGGAAGCGAUAUGACGUUAUCAUGAUCAAUUAUGGCGACUAUAGCCUACAACACUUGGAAUCACAUCAGACUCCCUGUUCACAACAAAAGAACCAAGCCACUUGGACAGUUCUACCUGUAAAGAACAAACACCGAAUACGCUACAAUGUCCAAAAAAGAAGAAACUGCUGUCCUUGAAUGUGCCCGUCAGCUGCGAAAGAUGGGCGAUCUUCUUGACUGGAAGUACAAGCUUUUGGAUAUUCUAUUAAGGAAUUACAACCAGGCUGCCAAAUUCAAGUGAGACUGAAUGGUUUCGAUGGAAGUGUUACUGGUACAUGCAACGACAUGUUCUUUCGCCGGCCCGUUCAAAGAUCGACAGUCGGGCGGUGGGCGGAAGCCACCGGUUAUACGUGAAACUACUGCAAUGAAGGCAUGCCAAACCUAAUUUUCGAAACAUUUUCGAAAAUACAUGGCUCUUCGCGGAAACUUCACGUCCCCGCUGUCACUAAGCAGGCUUUUCGCCUGAGACCCAGCCAGCUUUCGAGGCCUUGAAGCAGAAUUCUGAGAGAUCGGUGGACCUAUGGUGUGGACUGCUCCCUUUCCACGACAAACGUGGACUUUUAAGACUUAUAAUCGGCCAAUUAUGGCCGUAAGCUUACCACAUUUUCACAUCCAAAGUAUGUGCUUUUCUGUGUUGUUAAUUUCUGUAAAUAAACACUGAUAUUCUAA
Molecule: RNA transcript, 904 nt
Organism: Clupea harengus (Atlantic herring)
Lineage: Eukaryota; Metazoa; Chordata; Actinopteri; Clupeiformes; Clupeidae
Gene: pmaip1
Gene name: phorbol-12-myristate-13-acetate-induced protein 1
Source: RefSeq, a predicted model, not a curated record